GCCAGGUGUGGUGGCGUGCGCCUGUAGUCCCAGCUACUUGGGAGGCUGAGGUGGGAGGAUCGCUUGAACCCAGGAGGUCGAGGCUGCAGUGAGUCCUGUGCACCACUGCACUCCAGCCUGGGUGACAGAGCAAGACCCUGUUUCAA
This 146-nucleotide signal recognition particle RNA is filed under the name Homo sapiens (human). Its description in RNAcentral is "Metazoan signal recognition particle RNA". It matches the Rfam family "Metazoan signal recognition particle RNA". Rfam says of the family: The signal recognition particle (SRP) is a universally conserved ribonucleoprotein. It is involved in the co-translational targeting of proteins to membranes. The eukaryotic SRP consists of a 300-nucleotide 7S RNA and six proteins: SRPs 72, 68, 54, 19, 14, and 9. Lineage: Eukaryota; Metazoa; Chordata; Mammalia; Primates; Hominidae. The record is from Rfam by way of RNAcentral.